RNAcentral lists this ribosomal RNA (497 nucleotides) under uncultured bacterium. Its description in RNAcentral is "partial 16S ribosomal RNA". It matches the Rfam family "Bacterial small subunit ribosomal RNA", at positions 28 to 507 of the family's 1533-position model. The record is from RNAcentral.
GAUGAACGCUGGCGGCGUGCCUAAUACAUGCAAGUCGAGCGAACAGACGAGGAGCUUGCUCCUUUGACGUUAGCGGCGGACGGGUGAGUAACAUGUGGGUAACCUACCUAUAAGACUGGGAUAACUUCGGGAAACCGGAGCUAAUACCGGAUAAUAUUUCGAACCGCAUGGUUCGAUAGUGAAAGAUGGCUUUGCUAUCACUUAUAGAUGGACCUGCGCUGUAUUAGCUAGUUGGUAAGGUAACGGCUUACCAAGGCAACGAUACGUAGCCGACCUGAGAGGGUGAUCGGCCACACUGGAACUGAGACACGGUCCAGACUCCUACGGGAGGCAGCAGUAGGGAAUCUUCCGCAAUGGGCGAAAGCCUGACGGAGCAACGCCGCGUGAGUGAUGAAGGUCUUCGGAUCGUAAAACUCUGUUAUUAGGGAAGAACAAACGUGUAAGUAACUGUGCACGUCUUGACGGUACCUAAUCAGAAAGCCACGGCUAACUACGUG